Molecule: ribosomal RNA, 207 nt
Filed under: uncultured bacterium
Lineage: Bacteria
Description: partial 16S ribosomal RNA
Rfam family: Bacterial small subunit ribosomal RNA
Source: RNAcentral
CACGUAGGUUGUUAUGUAAGUUGAGUGUGAAAUCCCUCGGCUCAACCGAGGAGCUGCGCUCAAAACUACAUAACUAGAGUACAGGAGAGGAGAGUGGAAUUCCCAAUGUAGCGGUGGAAUGCGUAGAUAUUGGGAGGAACACCAGUGGCGAAGGCGUCUCUCUGGACUGAUACUGACACUGAGGUGCGAAAGCUAGGGGAGCAAACG